This 253-nucleotide ribosomal RNA is filed under the name uncultured bacterium. RNAcentral describes it as "partial 16S ribosomal RNA". It matches the Rfam family "Bacterial small subunit ribosomal RNA", at positions 524 to 776 of the family's 1533-position model. The record is from RNAcentral.
UACGUAGGGUGCAAGCGUUGUCCGGAAUUAUUGGGCGUAAAGAGCUUGUAGGCGGCCGUACAGGUCAGCUGUGAAAACUCGAGGCUCAACCUCGAGACGUCGGUUGAAACCGUACGGCUAGAGUCCGGAAGAGGAGAGUGGAAUUCCUGGUGUAGCGGUGAAAUGCGCAGAUAUCAGGAAGAACACCCGUGGCGAAGGCGGCUCUCUGGGACGGUACUGACACUGAGGAGCGAAAGCGUGGGGAGCAAACAGG